This is a non-coding RNA of Aedes albopictus (Asian tiger mosquito), 73 nucleotides long. The record is from Rfam. Lineage: Eukaryota; Metazoa; Arthropoda; Insecta; Diptera; Culicidae.
UGUUCUGUGGCUUAGUUGGUAAAAGCGCCUGUCUAGCGAAACGGAGUCUUGGGUUCGUAUCCCACCAGAACGU